RNAcentral lists this antisense RNA (75 nucleotides) under Streptomyces neyagawaensis. RNAcentral's name for it is "ASpks TB sRNA". It matches the Rfam family "ASpks TB sRNA". The record is from Rfam by way of RNAcentral. Lineage: Bacteria; Bacillati; Actinomycetota; Actinomycetes; Kitasatosporales; Streptomycetaceae.
CUUCAACGAGCCCAGCCAGAGCGGCCGGUCCACCGGGCGGCCCUGGCCGUAGGUGGCCAGCAGUGCCUGUGCCUC